Long non-coding RNA from Tripterygium wilfordii, 4151 nucleotides. RefSeq lists it as uncharacterized. The transcript is spliced from 7 exons. NCBI's taxonomy places the organism in Eukaryota, Viridiplantae, Streptophyta, Magnoliopsida, Celastrales, Celastraceae. The record is from RefSeq and is a predicted model, not a curated record.
GAUGUUAUUCUUGCUUGCUACCAAAAACGCUUUUUAUGUAUCUCGAUCGUUCUCAUCUCUCUUCGAUUCGGUGCAUGCACCUGCCAAAGGGGUGCUGCGAUUUGGGUCAUUCAUCCUUCACCUACGUCGUUCCUCUUGCUUCGGCGCAUGCAUCUUCGAGAUCCAGUAUCCCUUGCUUUCAAUCUUGAACAAUGCACUCCCUCACUUCGAUUCAUCUUUUCGGGGUAGUUUAAUUUCAUUUUUCGCCUUUGUUUUAGCUUUUGGGUUAGUUUUCUGCCUCUGCUAUCCCUUCUCUUUAUGUUCUUCUUCCAAGCAGAGAUUGAUGGUUAUUGAGGUGGUUUAAUUCCGUUCUGUUUUUGUCCUUUGUUUUGGGUUUGGGGUUUGUUUUCCGCCUCUGCCAUCCCUUCUCCCUCCAUGUUCUUCUUCCUCCAAAUAGACAUUGAUAGGUAUUGUUGGCACUAGGUCUAUCACAAUCUUGCAGUGGAAUCGGUUUGAGCUGCUGGCAGAGACGGGGCUCAACUUCUUCAAUCCAUUGUCCGACAAAUGUCUGGUGGGGUUCUCUCCACCAGGAUCAGCUCUCUCGAUGGGAAUGAAUUUAAGAUGACUCUCUCGACAAACUACUUAAUUUUGAGCGAUUAAUUUUUUUUGCUGUGUUCAUGGGUUUAAACUAACAGGAUACUGAAGAUUGUGCGUAUUGACGCCAAGUUCUACUUUGAAGGUUUAAAGGUGCUCUCAUUAUAGAAGGAGAUGCAAGAUCAGACCUCCCAAAUGUGCAAGAUUCGAAGCUAUGUCAUGGAUUCUCAAAGAACGAUACUUGGAUUUUGCUUCCAAACAGCUUAUUUGGCAGUCACAUAGAUGAAUCGAUUCCUUGCAGGGAGACCCACUAUUAUUGUAAGACCAACUUUAUACUUAUUAAUGCAAAUCAUUAAACACUUUCACUUCUAUGUUAUGUGUUUUUGCAAACUAUGCUGCUGCAACUCAAGUUGAUGAAAUGAAUUGAUGAUACGCAUCAUGGUGGGAAUCGGAGAGAUAUAGAAAGGAUGGAUUAAUCAAACAGUUGGCAUCCUCAGUUCUGCUAUAAGACAGAGUUUCAGAGUCAUGAGCCUGAGCUUUGGAUCCUUCUUCAGUAAAUGACGUUUGGUGAUGAUAAGGAUGAUGUGGGUGAGGUUACAUUUCCAUGUCAAUUUUCUAAUAUUCCACUUGCAAACCAAGUUGGGUGGCUUAGGUGAGUUUUCUUGCUUCUUGUAUCUUUUUUUUUGGUGUUUGAUCUGGGUUUCAUUUGCUCGACUUCUUUAGGCUUUCACGACUUUUAUUUGCUCAUUCCAUUGAUCAGGGUUUCCUCUGUAUGGGGCCUACGGGCAAUUGGGGUAUUUCGCUCUCCCACGUAGAGAUCUGCAGAUUUCUUCUUCUAACCUUUUCAAUAAGCUCUCUUCAACCUCUCUCUUCUCUCCUUUCUCGCCCCUCCAUUUUCUCUUCAACUUUUUUCCAUGUUUAUAAAUGUCUCGCAUGUGAUUGGGGUCUCUACUGUCAAGCUUGUCUUGUAGUGCAUCUUCUUCCAAGUCCUCCAUGACCAGUACCAAAUCCAAUACUUUGUCGUAGAUUCUGGCGUCGUCACUUGCCUUUGGAUAGGAGGGGUAACAGAGGAUGGGAUUGGGUCUCCUUCAUUUGCUGAGACCAACUUCACAAGUUUUUAUUCAUGGAAAACUGGGUUUUUAUUUAAUUUUUUUUUCUAAGUACAUUUAGCACCUGGAAGCACUUUUAAUUUACAAAAAUAUCUCCAAAGAUCACUACACAAUAACUUUAGGACAAUUAUGAGCGUAAGGUACUAACAAUAUUUUUUAGGUAAUUCAAUUAUAGAAGUUAGUUGAAGAAACUUUUACAAUUUAAUUUAUAACUUUUUUUUUUCUUUCAUGGUCUAGCAUUACGGUAAUACUUCUUUAGCAUUACGUUAUUUUUUAAAAUCCUACAAGAAGUGGUUAUUCAUUUUCUUUUCUUGAAAAUUAUGACUCUUCAUUUGUGUAGGAAGCCAAGAGCUGGAUCUCAAAGUUGUAGUUGUUGAGAUCCCUAAGACCAUCGAUAAUGACAUUCCAUAUUACGUAGAUACUCCUUUUUAUAAGAAAAACUCAGCUAAUAAGUAAAUAUAGUGCCAUAAAACUAUUGCUCAUAUAAUUUAAUUAUUUUUGCAUUUCAUUAACUUUAUUAAUGAUAUUUUGGGGGAUAUAUUUGUCAAAAUGGUUCGCUCAUUUUGAAUCAAAGUAACGUUCAUAUAUUUUCCCGCAUUCAAAUUAAAACACCGAUGUUCAUCAACACAGGGAACUGAUUCCACAACUGAUUUUGCACAUCUUCAAUUCUGAGGUACAUGUGAUCUCUUAUUGAUCUUUGUGCAUAACUUUUUUCAUCUUCACUGUUACAAUUAUAUCGAUGUUAUUGUUUUUAGUGUUUCCAAUUAUUGCCAUGCAUUUUCAUUUAUGUAUUCCAUAUUGUUGAGAAAUUUUUUUAAUUGCAUAUUGGCAUGCAUAUAUAAUUAUAGGAUGGAAUUUGGAGAAUCGAGUAGGGAUAAUAGAAAAAGGCGAAAAUGUUUGUUGGAUGAGCGAAAGAGGAACAUACCAUCAACAUCGAGUGCGACGCCUGCUACAAAACACAGUCAUGCUGCCAGUAAUUCUUCAGUUCAUGAGCUGUUGUCUCAUUCCUCUGUGCCUGCCACCGAACUGGAUUUGGUUCCGCUGAAUUUUAGUCAUCCAUUGUGAAGAAAUACUGAAAUAAUCAGUGAAGAAAAAACCAUCCAAGCUGAGACUGAGGAUGGAGAAGUCCAUAAUUAUUAGCCAUUCUUCGGCUAUUACAGGUGGUUGGGUUGUUUUGGCUUCUUGCUGCGUUGUUGAUUCCUGUCCAGUCAAUCAUUGUUUCGUCGGGUAGAUGCAUGAAUCUUCAGAUGCCGAAAAUUCCAAAUUUCCAUUAAGUUCUUCCUCGCUUGCGUUUUGAGCUCACAAAUUUAUGUGGUUCAUGUAACCACAAAUUGCUCGUGCGUCUUGAUCUCUUCCUAACUCAAUUAACUCCUCUCAGGCCUAAUUCAAUUCACUCUCCAGAACCCUCAUUCUCCACUAUUCUCUCUAAAUAUCAUAAGGUAUUAUCAGUCGUGCCCUUAGAGGUUUUGGUGCGGAGGCCCAGGAUUAAGGGAUUAACUUUCUUACUCUUUUUAAUUUUAUGAGUCCUUAUUUAAAUGAGUUUCUCUGAAAUUGUUCUUACUGUAGUAGGAGAUAAUAGUUGUUGAACUUUGCAACGGAAAUGAUUCUAAUAGAUCAGUCACUGAUUUUCGGCUAUAUCAUUCACUGAUAUUCUAUGCUUUUCCCUAGGUUUGAAACUAAAAAUGCAGGGAAAUUAACUUGGAAGUUAUGAUCCAAAGGGAUGUUUCAGUAAAUAACUUUCACUGUUCAUUGCAAUCAGCAAACAGUGAAAAACAUAGACAAUAGAAGUGUUAGAAAUAUAGCAUGGUGUAAGGAUCAAUUGGCUAAACUUACUUUGGAUGCUCUGAGACAUCUGCAAUGCCAGCUUCAUUAUUAUGAACAAAAUCCAAGCAUCAACAAAGACAUUGAAGGAGAAGAAACUAAGGACAGUGUUGAUACUUUCAUCCCCACAACAAAUAAUGGAAGAUUCUACAUACCCAUCAUAGAAGACAUUUUCCGUAUAAGAGAAGUUCUAAUCUACGGCGAAAAAAGACUGGAAAACAAUAUUGAGAUUGGAGAUAAUAGCAAUGAUUCUCCGGUACAGAGAAACGACAACAUCUCACACACUUCCAAAAGGAAAAGAGAAUGAUCCAAGUUGAGGAAAACGAAAAUAUGGUUUUUGCGUUUCACUUAAAAGUACAGAGGUUAAUGUCUUCAUAUAUAUACUUUUGACACAUGGGAUGAUGCUAACAUGGAAAAAACGACCACAUGAAUGGCCAUUCCAGAAAACGUCAGUUGAUGAAUUUUGUGUUUGUAAAUAGUUUAUAUACCUCUUUAAGAACAGUUUUAUCUAUAUAUAGACUAUAAAAGUAUGUAUAAAAUAUCAGAGUGUUUAUGGUACAACCAUAAAAGGAAAUCAACUUCUUAUUAACCAUGUACCUGCCUAUUGUGAAUGUACUUGCCUAUUCUCUAAGAAGCGCACGUUGGGUA